GUGAGGUUGGAUUUAGAGGCUUGGCUUCAGUCAGUUUCUUAUCUCCCUCCGCAUCCCUUUCCAGAUGCUUUCUCCUCUGGCAUUUCUUCCGCUUGGUGCUCUGAAAUUGCUCCUCGUCACUCAAAAACUGCUUCUGCUUGGCCUCGGUGCUUCUGUUUCGUUUUUCUUUAGAAACCAAUCCUCACACUAGGUUACUUGGAAAUACACAAAAUAAGGAAGAAACAGUCACUCCUAGAGAAUGAGCCACAGUGAUUUCUAUUUUUCCUGGGCUGGAAAAACGUCAGUAUUGUACCACUUUUUCCCUUGUGAUUAUGAAAAACAGUGUAUCCUUAGUGUAAAGGUUUUGGACUAUGAAGACUUCCAAUGGAGCUCAUAAUGGAGAAGGACUUUUCACUUUGUUUCCAUUCUGGAAUUACAGACGUGUUCCCCCACACCCGGCCUAUUGUGAGUUUUUGGUACUUAGUAUUUCACCUUCACACACAGGGAAACCAUAAGCUUGAUUGCCCUUGGAAGCCAGGUGAAACAGGAUAAGAAACCUAUCCCAAAGCCUACGUUUGUAGUUUCUCGGUACCGGCUCUAUCUUGUGGUGUGGCUCAGAACCCACGAACAUUGGGGCAGAGGAGCAGACUGAGAGAGAGCAGUGUAUUAUUUCCAACUGAUUUGGAAUGGUGAUGCUCUGUGGUCUUCCCCAGUUGGAAACAGCUCUCCGGUUCCACUGUAGCAGAACAAAGCUGAAGGAGUUAGAAGGAUCCUCUACUUAAAGCUCCUUGAGAACAUAUUUUAUUGACUGGUCAGACAGCCGAAAGAGACCCGUGGGUUAAGCACAAUGUCUGGGGUAAUUCUGAUCUCCAGGGACAGAUCCCCGACUUUGCAGUGGUACUUACUGUUUUAUAUGAGGAAUGACAACUGGGGACAAUCCUGCCAAUCGCUUACUUUCUUUCCCCUCUAUCACAGGACAAGAGAAUUUUAGGUUCAACCACUCACAGACGUUUAACUUUUAUAAACAGUUGAUAAACUUAGGUUGCAUCUGUUUAUUUAUUGACAUUCUUGGAAGAUUAAAUAAAUAACCACAUUUCCUUUUAUAUGGAAGAUUAAAUAAAUAUCCAUUUUUUUAAAAAAAA
Molecule: long non-coding RNA, 1121 nt
Filed under: Mus musculus (house mouse)
Lineage: Eukaryota; Metazoa; Chordata; Mammalia; Rodentia; Muridae
Description: predicted gene, 57131
Source: RNAcentral